GGGUUGUGGCUCAGUGGUAGGGACUUUGCCUGGCAUGUGCAAGGCCCUGGGUCUGAUUCCCAGCACCCA
RNAcentral lists this transfer RNA (69 nucleotides) under Marmota monax (woodchuck). Its description in RNAcentral is "tRNA.Ala". Lineage: Eukaryota; Metazoa; Chordata; Mammalia; Rodentia; Sciuridae. The record is from RNAcentral.